Molecule: long non-coding RNA, 286 nt
Filed under: Elaeis guineensis (African oil palm)
Lineage: Eukaryota; Viridiplantae; Streptophyta; Magnoliopsida; Arecales; Arecaceae
Description: long non-coding RNA (EGUI_LNC074014)
Source: RNAcentral
UUGGGCUUGUGUAGGGCAACACCGAUAUCAGUCCUCGAUCCAGCUCGCUCCUACUGGACCUCUCCACCUCAAUCAUCCAUCCGAGUCCUCUCCACCUAUGGAGACACCUUAGGUAGGUGCUCCACCUGAAUGUCAUGUCCUCCCAUAGUACCUGCAAGAGGCAAAAUAAAAGAGGUAAGCUGUCCAGCAGCGCCCUGCUGGACCUCCUCCUGCUCCUGCUGCUCCUCCAUGCCUGCUCGCCUCUGUAGGACUGACUCCUUGUCAAAAGUCACAUCCCGACUAAUGA